UUUUCUGUCCUUGUAACUAACUAUAUGGUGGUUAUGCAGUUUUUAUCAAAAACCACAAGCCAUAAAAAUCAAAAUCUAGCAAUUCCUUUUUGAUUCUGCACAUCCCAUUCUCUGCUUCGAUCCUGCUUCACUUAUUUAGGAUGAUUCGCCUAUCACAAUAUGUUAAUUGAUUUUAUGCUGGCUUCUAGAUACUCAAAAUCAUCGUCAUCAAGUGUUUAUAUAAAAGAAGAGAUCUUGUUCAUGGGGUAUUGCAGCUGGUUGCUGCUGCCAUGUUUUAUAUGGAGUUCUCUGAUUCUGGGUUCCCAUCAAUUACAACCUUCACAAACACAAGUGCUCCUUCAACUGAGGAAGCAUUUGGAGUACCCAAAUCAACUGGAAAUUUGGAAAGAUCAUAGUGUAGAUUUUUGCUUCAUAUCUUCAACUGCACAAGUAAAUGUAACUUGCCAGGAUAAUUUUGUCACUGAGCUUAGAAUUAGAGGAGACAAGCCUGCCAAGAUUGAUAACUUUGUAGGGUUCGUAAUUCCAAAUCAAACUUUAUCGGAGAAUUUCUCUAUGGAUUCUUUUGUUGUUACUCUUGCUAGGCUAACCAGUUUGAGAGUCCUCAGUCUUGUAUCUCUAGGCAUUUGGGGUCCACUUCCGGACAAAAUUCAUCGGUUGUCUUCACUUGAAUACUUGGAUUUGAGUUCAAAUUAUCUCUCUGGUUCUGUUCCACCGAAGAUUUCAACAAUGGUGAAACUCCAAACGCUUAUACUCGAUGACAAUUUCUUCAACGAUACAGUACCCAAUUGGUUUGCUUCACUGUCUAAUCUUACAAUUCUGAGAAUGAGGAAUAACCAAUUGAAAGGUCCAUUUCCAACUUCAUUACAGAGAGUUACCACUCUUACUGAUGUCGUUUUGUCUAGCAAUGAGAUAUCUGGAAACUUACCAAGUCUUGAUUCCUUAAGUAACCUGCAUUUGCUGGAUUUAAGUGGGAACAAUCUUGAUUCUAAUCUACCUUCAAUGCCUAAAGGAUUGGUCUCAAUAUCUCUUAGCAACAACUCCUUUUCAGGUGAAAUUCCUCAUCCAUAUGGCCAGCUUAGUCAGCUUCAACACCUUGAUAUGUCGUUCAAUAAACUAAGUGGAAGACCUCCUGCUACAAUCUUUUCAUUACCAAACAUCAGUUUCUUGAAUUUGACAUCCAAUAUGUUAAGUGGUUCCCUCCCAGAUCAUCUAAGCUGUGGCAGGAAACUUCAGUUUGUUGAUAUAUCAAAUAAUAGUUUUACUGGUGGAUUGCCCCAGUGUUUGAGGCUUGAAUCAGAUGAUAGAGUUGUGAAAUUUGGUGGAAAUUGCUUAUCCAUUGAUUUACAUCAUCAGCGUACAGAAUCAUCUUGUAUGGCCAUGCCUGUAAAAGAGAAACAAUCUGGAGUAAAAAAUAUAGGAAGAUUAGUGGGUGUGACUAUUGGUAUCCUUAUGGUCCUGGUGCUUCUCGCUUUUGGCUUUCUCGUUUUAUGUAGAAGAUAUUGCCCACGAGGAACGUCCGAGCAGCAUUUAUUGCACAAAGCAGUGCAAGAAAACUCAGCAACAGGGCUGUCGUCUGAGAUUCUCACCAAUGCAAGAUUUAUUUCUCAGGCAGCAAAAUUGGGAUCACAAGGUCUCCCAAUGUGUCGGUCAUUUACUUUACGAGAGAUAAAGGCAGCUACAAGAAACUUUGAUCAAUCUACCAUUUUGGGAGAAGGAUCUUAUGGGAAGCUUUACAAAGGAAGAUUAGAAGAUGGGACACAAGUUGCUAUAAGGUGCCUGUCUUCAUCGAACAAAUAUACGAUUCGAAAUCUUAAACUCAGGUUGGAUUUGCUUGCAAAGCUUCGGCACCCACAUUUGGUUUGCCUCUUGGGGCACUGCAUUGACAGUGGUGGACAGGAUGAUUACAAAGUGAACAGAAUCUUCCUUGUAUUUGAAUACAUUUCGAAUGGCAAUUUUCGCACUCGCCUCUAUGAGGACAAUUCAGGCAAGCUUCUAAAUUGGUCAGAGAGAUUGACGGUGCUAAUUGGCGUGGCAAAAGCUGUGCACUUUCUGCAUACAGGAGUUAUUCCUGGUUUCUUCAACAAUCAAUUGAAGACAAAUAAUAUCCUUCUUAAUGAGUAUGGGAUUGCAAAGUUGAGUGACUAUGGAUCAUCCAUCAUCUCUGAAGAAUUAGCAAAUUCUGGGGAAGGUGGAGAAGGCUUUAAAUCACGGCAAAUGACAAGAUUAGAGGAUGAUGUUUAUAGCUUUGGCUUCAUAUUACUUGAAUCACUUGUUGGCCCCUCAGUAUCUGGCAGAAGAGACAAGCUUCUACUGGAUGAACUGGCAUCUCUUAACAGCCCAGAUGGCCAUAGGAAAUUAGUAAACCCAAUUGUGCUGGCCACGUGCUUCCAAGAGUCUUUAUCAACUGUGAUUUCUAUUACAAACAAAUGCAUUUGUUCUGAAUCAUGGAGCCGUCCUUCUUUUGAGGACAUCCUCUGGAACUUGCAGUAUGCAGCUCAAAUUCAAGCAACAGCAGAUGGUACCAAAUCGGGUUGCUGUAGUUCCAGCCUAUGGCUGUCUCCUAACCCUAGUAAGAGAUGGGGCGAGCUUUUCUUCCUUUGUUAUACUCCUUUCUGGCUUACUCUAUGUCUGGGCAUUGUUGUUCCCUACAAGCUCUAUGAGAGCUUUACGGAAUUGGAGUACUUGCUUCUGGCUAUGGUUUCGGCAGUUCCUUCUUUCUUUAUACCAAUGAUGUUUGUUGGGAAGACUGAUAGUGGCUUGAGUUGGAAGGAGCGUUACUGGGUCAAGGCCAGUCUAUGGAUAAUAAUUUUCAGCUAUGUUGGAAAUUACUUUUGGACACACUAUUUCUUUACAGUUUUGGGAGCAUCUUAUACAUUUCCGUCAUGGAAGAUGAAUGAUGUACCCCACACAACUUUCCUUUUAACACAUGUUUGCUUCCUGUUUUACCAUGUUGCCUCAAAUAUGACACUUCGCAGGCUGCGACAUGCUAUUGCUGACAUGCCAGAUAAACUUCAAUGGGUUACUGAAGCAGCUUGGAUUUUGGCUCUUGCAUAUUUCAUAGCAUACCUGGAGACUUUAGCUAUUUCUAAUGCUAAUGAAUGGAUUAGCUGAUAGAGAAUAUGAUCUGUUUAUUAUAUCCUCGAGGCUUCUAUCUUUUGUAACAAGUAUUACUGUGCUUCAUUUAGGGUUUGAUUAUUGGGUUUUUCUGGCCUUUUUUAUACCAAGUAUACCUUCUCUUAACAAUCAUGUGACUUUAUGAUCUGUGGAAUGAGCCUAAGCUAAUCAUAUCCCACUUUUUUCUUAUUUGUUUAGGGCAAAAGGGAGUGAUUUUACAUCCUUAGCAAGAUAUGUGUCAAUUUUUGUUCUUGCAUUUUAUGUAAUGCUAUUUAUAGUCGUCAUAGUUAAUGCAAUUCAUAACAUUUCUGGUUUACUUCAAAAGUAUUACCAAGGGGACAACGUCAGCCUUGAGUCUUGACAUUGCAACUUGUUGCUAAAAUGUGAAUUAAGGCACUGAUAAACAUUAUGUUAUGAACAUGUGCAGUUUCCUUACUAUGAAUUUGUGGACCGGGCUUCCAUGUACAAAGUUGGGUCCUUAUUUUAUGCCAUCUACUUUGUUGUAAGCUUCCCAAUGUUUUUGAGGAUAGAUGAGAAACCCGGUGACUUGUGGGACUUGCCGAGAGUGGCUGUGGAUGCUCUGGGUGCUGCAAUGUUAGUAACAAUAAUUUUGGACUUGUGGAGAAUAUUUCUUGGACCAAUUGUUCCACAAAGUUAUGCAAAACAAUGCCUUCAACCAGGACUUCCAUGGUUUCAUGGACAUGCCAAUGAAACUUAAUGACUGUACGUAACUGUGGAAGUUUGCCGCGCUUGAUGUUGUCACAUUAACUUGCUAACCAACGGUUUUGGUCAUGUUCCUGUUAUGGAUGCUUCAGCUUAGGCUUGCACUGAAAUUUGCAGUGGCACUUGUUACGAUUGAUGUUUUUUUUCUGGUCAAAAUGACACUUUGUUACGAUUGAUGUUAAGUUUGUGCGUCCAAGUUUUUCCCA
This is an RNA transcript of Manihot esculenta (cassava), 4043 nucleotides long. It is a transcript of the gene named cycloeucalenol cycloisomerase, with no coding region annotated. The record is from RefSeq and is a predicted model, not a curated record. The transcript has 14 exons. Lineage: Eukaryota; Viridiplantae; Streptophyta; Magnoliopsida; Malpighiales; Euphorbiaceae.